UUAACUUGAUUUUACAAUGUGUUUAGCUUGAAAAUACAUUUAUGAUUUAUUUAUUUAUUGUUGUGGAAAAUCUGUGUAUUUCUGAAAACGUUCUUCUUUUUCAAUCUUUGCAUUACUCUUUCCAUCUUCAUGACAUGGUCUGAGCGUCACAAUGGUGAAUAAGUCACCACAAUGACAUGGUAAGGUACAGUAAAUCAUCUGACAGCAGUAUAAAUUACACCCAAUCUGAAUGUUUUGUAUAUGAAUACAUGUAUUUAGUUGUUUUAAAGUGCAAAUUCACUGCAUUUGUUUCUUUUUGUGCAUAACUCUUUUCAUUUGCAUGUCAUGGUAUGAGCAUCAAAAUGGCAAACUUAUGACCGCAAUAAAAGGUAAUUAAAAUUUCAAAGUUUUCUAAAAACAUUAACACGCGUAUUAGCGGAUGUUAAGUUCCAGCAUAAACCUUUAUUUUCAGAAAAUCACUAUUUCUGAACAAUUUCCUCCUUAUUUUUUAUUUUUUGCAUGACUCUUGUGUCUACAUGCAAUUGUUUGAGUCAUCACCAUGACAAUAUGGUAAGUAAUAACAGCAUUAAAAAUCUGUAUUAACUUUUUUUUUUUUUACUUUUUUUGAGCACAUUCUUUGGUUGCAUGAUUUUUCCAUCUACAUGACAGAGUUUGAGCAUCAAGAAGGCUAACUUAUCACAGCAGUGAAGUUUGAGUGUCACAAUGAUAAAUAUGGGAAGAUCACAUGACCGCAAUAAAGGCGUGAACAUCAGUAAUCUGGACAUUCUCGGGCGGCUCUUGUUUGGACUCAGUCGCUGGCUGCUGCUCUCCGCUGGCAUGACUCAAGAUCUCUUCAUACACUGUCUGCUACAUGCUUUCUGCUAGUGCUGCAGCUGUGUCUAGACAACUGUUGGGACAUUUCAUGCAACCUGUAUGCAUUUCUUUCUUCUGUUGUACACAAAAGAUUUUGACUUUUGAACUAUGUUGGUAACAAACAGCUGAGAGUAGCCAUUGACUUUUAUUGAAUGAAAUAAAAAAUACUAUGGAACUC
This is a long non-coding RNA of Carassius gibelio (silver crucian carp), 1030 nucleotides long. RefSeq lists it as uncharacterized. Lineage: Eukaryota; Metazoa; Chordata; Actinopteri; Cypriniformes; Cyprinidae. The transcript is spliced from 4 exons. The record is from RefSeq and is a predicted model, not a curated record.